RNAcentral lists this long non-coding RNA (465 nucleotides) under Fukomys damarensis (Damara mole-rat). RNAcentral describes it as "lncRNA (ENSFDAG00000031526.1)". Lineage: Eukaryota; Metazoa; Chordata; Mammalia; Rodentia; Bathyergidae. The record is from RNAcentral.
CCUUCUUCUUUGUUGCCAUGGACUUGCAAUUCUCCGAUAAAUUGCCCACAUUUUAAUUUUAGCCCCAGGAUCUGUUUAUGGAGGCACCAGACUAAGAAGGAGUGGGGCGUGGGAACCAAGUUGGCUGAAGACACCAUGGAAAGAAUCUACCAGCAGUGAGCAGAGUGGAAUCAAGAGAAAUCAAAGGAAGGUGAUUUUCCCAAUAAGGACCACACAAGGGAAAUUUGUUGAACCCACAAUAGCAGAACUAAAGACACCAGGAAAGGGGACGUCUGCACAGGUGCCAAGAAUGACCAGUCGGCCCUCUGAACCUGUGGGUUCACAUCCACGGGGUCAACCAACUCGAAGGACAGACGUGACGCUGCUGAGCACAGAGUGUGACUUUGUCUCCAUCAUAAUUCUCUGAGCAAGGCUGGACAGCAAUCCAGGGCACCAUAUGAAGUGGUGGCGGUAGCCGAAAUCGAG